GGUUCACCCGGCCAAGGGAUUUAGGGUUUGGAAUUGCGGAACCUCCCCCCGGGGGUCU
This 58-nucleotide transfer RNA is filed under the name Aneura pinguis. Its description in RNAcentral is "partial tRNA-His". The record is from RNAcentral. Lineage: Eukaryota; Viridiplantae; Streptophyta; Jungermanniopsida; Metzgeriales; Aneuraceae.